AUUCCAGCUCCAAUAGCGUAUACUAAAGUUGUUGCAGUUAAAAAGCUCGUAGUUGAAUUUCUGGUCUCGGACAGCGGUCUGCCUCAAACGAGGUACGCACCACCUGUUCAGGUCCAUCCUCGGAGAAAACAUGCCUGUGAUUCAGUUCAUGGGUAUGGGAUCUUCGUCAUUUACUGUGAGCAAAAUAUAGUGUUCAAAGCAGGCUUAUGCCGUUGAAUACAUUAGCAUGGAAUAAUAAAAUAAGACCUUGGUCUAUUUUGUUGGUUUGUACUCCAAGGUAACGAUUAAUAGGGAUAGUUGGGGGUAUUCGUAUUCAAUUGUCAGAGGUGAAAUUCUUGGAUUUAUGGAAGACGAACUACUGCGAAAGCAUUUACCAAGGAUGUUUUCAUCG
Molecule: ribosomal RNA, 391 nt
Filed under: Chrysophyceae sp.
Lineage: Eukaryota; Chrysophyceae
Description: partial small subunit ribosomal RNA
Rfam family: Eukaryotic small subunit ribosomal RNA
Source: RNAcentral